RNAcentral lists this ribosomal RNA (1977 nucleotides) under Vibrio cholerae. RNAcentral describes it as "partial 23S ribosomal RNA". It matches the Rfam family "Bacterial large subunit ribosomal RNA", at positions 1 to 1980 of the family's 2925-position model. The record is from RNAcentral. Lineage: Bacteria; Pseudomonadati; Pseudomonadota; Gammaproteobacteria; Vibrionales; Vibrionaceae.
GGUUAAGUUAGAAAGGGCGCACGGUGGAUGCCUUGACACUAGGAGUCGAUGAAGGACGGGACUAACGCCGAUAUGCUUCGGGGAGCUGUAAGUAAGCUUUGAUCCGAAGAUUUCCGAAUGGGGAAACCCACCAUACGUAAUGGUAUGGUAUCCUUACCUGAAUACAUAGGGUAAGGAAGACAGACCCAGGGAACUGAAACAUCUAAGUACCUGGAGGAAGAGAAAGCAAAUGCGAUUUCCUGAGUAGCGGCGAGCGAAACGGAACAUAGCCCAAACCAAGAGGCUUGCCUCUUGGGGUUGUAGGACAUUCUAUACGGAGUUACAAAGGAACGAGGUAGACGAAGCGACCUGGAAAGGUCCGUCGUAGAGGGUAACAACCCCGUAGUCGAAACUUCGUUCUCUCUUGAAUGUAUCCUGAGUACGGCGGAACACGUGAAAUUCCGUCGGAAUCUGGGAGGACCAUCUCCCAAGGCUAAAUACUCCCUAGUGAUCGAUAGUGAACCAGUACCGUGAGGGAAAGGUGAAAAGCACCCCGGAAGGGGAGUGAAAGAGAUCCUGAAACCGUGUGCCUACAAAUAGUCAGAGCCCGUUAACGGGUGAUGGCGUGCCUUUUGUAGAAUGAACCGGCGAGUUACGAUCCCGUGCGAGGUUAAGCUGAAGAGGCGGAGCCGCAGCGAAAGCGAGUCUGAAUAGGGCGUUUAGUACGUGGUCGUAGACCCGAAACCAGGUGAUCUACCCAUGUCCAGGGUGAAGUUCAGGUAACACUGAAUGGAGGCCCGAACCCACGCACGUUGAAAAGUGCGGGGAUGAGGUGUGGGUAGCGUAGAAAUUCCAAUCGUACCUGGAGAUAGCUGGUUCUCCCCGAAAUAGCUUUAGGGCUAGCCUUAAGUGUAAGAGUCUUGGAGGUAGAGCACUGAUUGGACUAGGGGUCCUCAUCGGAUUACCGAAUUCAGUCAAACUCCGAAUGCCAAUGACUUAUCCUUAGGAGUCAGACUGCGAGUGAUAAGAUCCGUAGUCAAAAGGGAAACAGCCCAGACCGCCAGCUAAGGUCCCAAAGUGUGUAUUAAGUGGAAAAGGAUGUGGAGUUGCUUAGACAACUAGGAUGUUGGCUUAGAAGCAGCCACCAUUUAAAGAGUGCGUAAUAGCUCACUAGUCGAGUGACUCUGCGCCGAAAAUGUACCGGGGCUAAAUACACCACCGAAGCUGCGGAUUGAUACCAAUGGUAUCAGUGGUAGGGGAGCGUUCUAAGGACAGUGAAGUCAGACCGGAAGGACUGGUGGAGUGCUUAGAAGUGAGAAUGCCGGUAUGAGUAGCGAAAGACGGGUGAGAAUCCCGUCCACCGAAUGCCUAAGGUUUCCUGAGGAAGGCUCGUCCGCUCAGGGUUAGUCAGGACCUAAGCCGAGGCCGACAGGCGUAGGCGAUGGACAACAGGUUGAUAUUCCUGUACCACCUCUUUAUCGUUUGAGCAAUGGAGGGACGCAGAAGGAUAGAAGAAGCGUGCGAUUGGUUGUGCACGUCCAAGCAGUUAGGCUGAUAAGUAGGCAAAUCCGCUUAUCGUAAAGGCUGAGCUGUGAUGGGGAAGCUCCUUAUGGAGCGAAGUCUUUGAUUCCCCGCUGCCAAGAAAAGCUUCUAGCGAGAUAAAAGGUGCCUGUACCGCAAACCGACACAGGUAGGCGAGGAGAGAAUCCUAAGGUGUGCGAGAGAACUCUGGUUAAGGAACUCGGCAAAAUGACCCCGUAACUUCGGGAGAAGGGGUGCUUUCUUAACGGAAAGCCGCAGUGAAUAGGCCCAAGCGACUGUUUAGCAAAAACACAGCUCUCUGCGAAGCCGUAAGGCGAAGUAUAGGGGGUGACACCUGCCCGGUGCUGGAAGGUUAAGGAGAGGGGUUAGCGUAAGCGAAGCUCUGAACUGAAGCCCCAGUAAACGGCGGCCGUAACUAUAACGGUCCUAAGGUAGCGAAAUUCCUUGUCGGGUAAG